This 467-nucleotide ribosomal RNA is filed under the name uncultured bacterium. RNAcentral describes it as "partial 16S ribosomal RNA". It matches the Rfam family "Bacterial small subunit ribosomal RNA", at positions 28 to 506 of the family's 1533-position model. The record is from RNAcentral.
GACGAACGCUGGCGGCGUGCUUAACACAUGCAAGUCGAACGGAAAGGCCCUGCUUUUGUGGGGUGCUCGAGUGGCGAACGGGUGAGUAACACGUGAGUAACCUGCCCUUGACUUUGGGAUAACUUCAGGAAACUGGGGCUAAUACCGGAUAGGAGCUCCUGCUGCAUGGUGGGGGUUGGAAAGUUUCGGCGGUUGGGGAUGGACUCGCGGCUUAUCAGCUUGUUGGUGGGGUAGUGGCUUACCAAGGCUUUGACGGGUAGCCGGCCUGAGAGGGUGACCGGCCACAUUGGGACUGAGAUACGGCCCAGACUCCUACGGGAGGCAGCAGUGGAGAAUAUAGCACAAUGGGCGGAAGCCAGAUGCAGCAACGCCGCGUGCGGGAUGACGGCCUUCGGGUGGUAAACCGCUUUCGCCUGUGACGAAGCGUGAGUGACGGUAAUGGGGAAAGAAGCACCGGCUAACUACGU